AUAUUUAUACAGCAACAAUAUUUCGAGUAUUGAGCAAGGAAGCUUCAAGGAUCUUCCUAAACUACAGACAUUAUAUUUGAAGAAUAAUACAAUCAAGAAAAUCGAUCGCCUAAUCUUCCACAAACUUACCAGUUUAGAGUUAUUAACAUUCGAGCAUAAUAAGAUCGAGAAAGUCGAACGUGGAACCUUCCAAGAUCUUAUCAAUUUACAGAAACUGUAAGUUCAAU
Long non-coding RNA from Octopus bimaculoides (California two-spot octopus), 227 nucleotides. The record is from RefSeq and is a predicted model, not a curated record. NCBI's taxonomy places the organism in Eukaryota, Metazoa, Mollusca, Cephalopoda, Octopoda, Octopodidae.